AUUCCAGCUCCAAUAGCGUAUAUUAAAGUUGUUGCAGUUAAAAAGCUCGUAGUUGGAUUUCUGGCAGAGUGUCCUCCGUCCAGCAGUUCGUUUGGUUCGGAGCGCUCUACCAUCCUUCUGUUAACCUUUCCGGGAUUUACUUUUCGGACUGGGGCUCAGAUAUUUUACCUUGAGAAAAUUAGAGUGUUUCAGGCAGGCUAUUCGCCGGAAUACAUUAGCAUGGAAUAAUGGAAAAGGACUGCAACCUCUUCUGUUGGUCUGGGAGGCUGAAGUAAUGAUUAAUAGGGAUAGUUGGGGGCAUUAGUACUUUCCAGUCAGAGGUGAAAUUCUCCAAUUUGGUAAAGACUAACUUAUGCGAAAGCAUAUGCCAAGGAUGUUUUCAUCA
This 385-nucleotide ribosomal RNA is filed under the name Leegaardiella sp. RNAcentral describes it as "partial small subunit ribosomal RNA". It matches the Rfam family "Eukaryotic small subunit ribosomal RNA", at positions 582 to 975 of the family's 1831-position model. Lineage: Eukaryota; Ciliophora; Spirotrichea; Choreotrichida; Leegaardiellidae. The record is from RNAcentral.